AAAAAUUAGUUAAAUUUGAUACAAAACAAUUGUUUUCGACUUUCUGGUUCCCAUUAGUUACUGGUCAUAGUCUAGCUCUAGUGAAACUAAAAAAACAGACACAGGGAUCGUUAAAAAAUUCGCAAGAAAACGUUUUAUGGUUUUAUUUUGUAGUAGGAGGUGUGCAGAAUGACAUACUAAAAAUUGGUAAAAAUGUAUUUACCAGAAGUUGUUCGAAUAUUGCCCUAAAGUUAUAAUUUUUUUUUUUUUUUUUUUAAUUUGUGUGCCUCGACUACUAUACUUCGUUCACCCAACAGAAAUAGUUAAGCCCCUCCUCAACAAUUACCGCCACAUUUGAAUACGACAUUGUUAUUGGUGUAAUUUUUGAAGCCACAAUCACACUUGUAAAGCGAAUUGGCCGAAUUGGGUAAUCUGUCAUCUGUCAUCUUGCCUAUUGCGUUUCUGCCGGUUUUUACGUUUUUACAUCUUUACUUGCGUCAAUUUGCCAUUAAUCUCCUUUAUUCACACAAAAUAGUCUUUAUAAAGACUCGUCGGUGUAUUCUAAAGAUAGUCAGGGUUAUAUUAUUCGCGAUCAAGAAAAGUUGUACGCAAACAUGAAUGUCGCCGGUGCUGCUUUCUCUCCACCGAAAAAACGUUCUGCCAAGCACUUUUCAGUUGAAGACAAAACUGGCAUUUUAAAUAUCUUCAAGAAAUUGGAAGAACGCAAUUCGCCAUGCUCAAAGUGAAGAGGAAAAAAUGUGGCAAAUUGAUAUUUUAAUGGACAUCGUAGUGGAGCCAUUAGUAAUUCAUGUGGGAGAUGACUCGACGUCAACGGAGUCCGAAUCCGAGUGAAGCGAUACAGGAUGUAAAUUGUUAUGUACCUUUGUUUAUAUUCAAGUGCACUUGUAAUUUCAAAACUUUGUGCUGCUGUAAUAAUACUUUUUUGUACUUUUCUCAAUAUAAACAGUGUUUUUA
Molecule: long non-coding RNA, 954 nt
Organism: Photinus pyralis (common eastern firefly)
Lineage: Eukaryota; Metazoa; Arthropoda; Insecta; Coleoptera; Lampyridae
Exons: 2
Source: RefSeq, a predicted model, not a curated record